RNAcentral lists this ribosomal RNA (674 nucleotides) under uncultured Bacilli bacterium. Its description in RNAcentral is "bacterial SSU rRNA". It matches the Rfam family "Bacterial small subunit ribosomal RNA", at positions 76 to 735 of the family's 1533-position model. Lineage: Bacteria; Bacillati; Bacillota; Bacilli. The record is from RNAcentral.
UAGCUUGCUAUUUUUAUGAAGAGCGGCGAACGGGUGAGUAACGCGUGGGAAAUCUGCCGAGUAGCGGGGGACAACGUUUGGAAACGAACGCUAAUACCGCAUAACAAUGAGAAUCGCAUGAUUCUUAUUUGAAAGAAGCAAUUGCUUCACUAUUUGAUGAUCCCGCGUUGUAUUAGCUAGUUGGUAGUGUAAAGGACUACCAAGGCGAUGAUACAUAGCCGACCUGAGAGGGUGAUCGGCCACACUGGGACUGAGACACGGCCCAGACUCCUACGGGAGGCAGCAGUAGGGAAUCUUCGGCAAUGGGGGCAACCCUGACCGAGCAACGCCGCGUGAGUGAAGAAGGUUUUCGGAUCGUAAAACUCUGUUGUUAGAGAAGAACGUUAAGUAGAGUGGAAAAUUACUUAAGUGACGGUAUCUAACCAGAAAGGGACGGCUAACUACGUGCCAGCAGCCGCGGUAAUACGUAGGUCCCAAGCGUUGUCCGGAUUUAUUGGGCGUAAAGCGAGCGCAGGUGGUUUCUUAAGUCUGAUGUAAAAGGCAGUGGCUCAACCAUUGUGUGCAUUGGAAACUGGGAGACUUGAGUGCAGGAGAGGAGAGUGGAAUUCCAUGUGUAGCGGUGAAAUGCGUAGAUAUAUGGAGGAACACCGGAGGCGAAAGCGGCUCUCUGGCCU